RNAcentral lists this small nuclear RNA (322 nucleotides) under Vicugna pacos (alpaca). Its description in RNAcentral is "7SK RNA (ENSVPAG00000015962.1)". It matches the Rfam family "7SK RNA". From Rfam's summary of the family: 7SK was discovered as an abundant small nuclear RNA in the mid-70s but a possible function has only recently been suggested. Two independent studies have found that 7SK RNA binds the CDK9/cyclin T complex (known as elongation factor P-TEFb). The record is from RNAcentral. Lineage: Eukaryota; Metazoa; Chordata; Mammalia; Artiodactyla; Camelidae.
GGAUGUUAGGGCAAUCUGGCUGUGACAUCUGUCACCCCACUAAUCGCCAGGGUUGAUUCAGCUGAUCUGGCUGGCUAAGCAGGUGUCCCCUUCUUCUCUCACCACUCCAUAUGCAUCCCUCCUGAAGCUGCAUGCUUGGUUGAAGAGGACGACCAUCCCCAAUAGAGGAGGACUGUUCUUCUCAGUCAAGGGCAUACAAGUGGCUGCGCUCCCCUGCUAGAACCUCCAAACAAGCUCUCAAAGAAGAUAUCCAGAUGGCCAACAGGUGCAUGAAAAGAUGCUCAGUAUCCCUAAUUAUUACAGAAAUGGAAGUCAAAACUAC